RNAcentral lists this long non-coding RNA (1525 nucleotides) under Sus scrofa (pig). RNAcentral's name for it is "lncRNA (ENSSSCG00005034468.1)". The record is from RNAcentral. Lineage: Eukaryota; Metazoa; Chordata; Mammalia; Artiodactyla; Suidae.
GCCUUCUCAAUGGUUUGGAAUAGACACUGCUAACAAGAGUAUUAGUAGUAAACUAAGAAGAACAGAGAAAUUGAAUGAAAAGUGAGAACAUGGAGAGAGGCAAAAUGUGCAGUGCAAUCAACAGAUUGGGAAGGAAAAGAGCGUGGCUGGAUCAGGGAGAUUGAAGUAAUUCCACUGAACUCAUUGAAAUUACGCUGACAACCACUUGACAUGGAAACAUGGAGGAAGAAGGCCCCGGAAUCCAUAAUCCUCUGAAGAAACAUCUGCUCAUUUGUCUGAUUUCUCCCUAAUCUGUACACUUCUCCAAAGCAGGAUGUAUAGUCACAGUUGCUCCCGUAUUCCCAAUAAUUAGUCAUAGUUAUGCUUUUUUCAACCCCUUGUACUGCAAGGAAUCUUUCUGGAAUAAACUGUACAGAAUAGGAAGAAUAGGUGAUGGCCUUUGAGAUAUUUUGCAGGACAUAGAAGAAAACCUAAAGGGGACACAAAUCCCAUCGAUUAGUUUCUUAAGAGUGGACAAGUAGAGUGGCCUUAGGAGUGGUCUUCUCUAUUAACCAGAGAUAGCAGGGUACAAAGACAGGACCAACAAAGUUUGUUCAUGGAAAAAGACUUGUUUCAAGGCCCUAAUGCUUUUUAAAACUGUCAUCAAGGCUUAACUAUCAGCUCUGUCUGCUAACGUGAGUGAAGUGUUUUGAAAAGAUGGAGAGAAAGUCAGCAUUAGGAUAUGAUUAUUGUCAUUCAUUUCAAGCAGACAUUUUCUAGCGCCAUUGGCUUAUUUGCCCGGUGUAGCUUUCUCUAACCUCCUGUCUGUGCUGUUGGGAAGAAAUAAUUCCUCCGUGUUAGGAUAGCACUUUUUACACCUCUUUUCAUAACACUGCAACACUUCACGUGCAGUAAAUCAAGAUCUCUGACGGAAGAUGAAAUGGAAAGGAAACUAAGGGUUGAUUAAGUUAUUUGGUCAGACAUAAUACCAGAUUUUUAAAAUAUUCUGUACUUUGUUUUAAUAACUACUUAAUUAUGUAGGUACUAAUUCCCCCCUUUUUUUUUAGAUGAAAAGCUAAAGAGAAAUUAACAGAACCUGACCAGUAGUCAGUAGUCAGUGGUGUUUCCAAAUUCCUAGGUCUUACUUACAGCAGUCAUUACUUUUUCUUCAUAAUUCAUAUAGCUUAAAAUACACAAUGUAGGGUGCCCUCUUUAUUACUCAUUGACACUCUCAUAACCCUUUCCUCCUUGUUUUUGCCCAAGCAAAAGCUUUCAAAUGUCAGUUAAUAAGUGCGACAGGGAUAAAAUAAGAAAAAUUUGGAGUUCCCAUCAUGGUGCAGUGGUCAGCGAAUCUGACUAGGAACUAUGAGGUUGCAGGUUCGAUCCCUGCCCCUGCUCAGUGGGGUAACGAUCCGGCGUUGCCGUGAGCUGUGGUGUAGGUUGCAGACGCGGCUCGGAUUCUGAGAUGCUGUGGCUUCGGCGUAGGCCAGCAGCUACAGCUCCAAUUCGACCCCUAGCCUGGGAGCCUCCAUAUGCCGCGGGAGCG